This 459-nucleotide ribosomal RNA is filed under the name Flavobacterium sp. RNAcentral describes it as "bacterial SSU rRNA". It matches the Rfam family "Bacterial small subunit ribosomal RNA", at positions 98 to 555 of the family's 1533-position model. The record is from RNAcentral. Lineage: Bacteria; Pseudomonadati; Bacteroidota; Flavobacteriia; Flavobacteriales; Flavobacteriaceae.
GCGCACGGGUGCGUAACGCGUAUGCAAUCUACCUUUUACAGAGGGAUAGCCCAGAGAAAUUUGGAUUAAUACCUCAUAGUAUAAUAGCUCGGCAUCGAGCAAUUAUUAAAGUCACAACGGUAAAAGAUGAGCAUGCGUCCCAUUAGCUAGUUGGUAAGGUAACGGCUUACCAAGGCUACGAUGGGUAGGGGUCCUGAGAGGGAGAUCCCCCACACUGGUACUGAGACACGGACCAGACUCCUACGGGAGGCAGCAGUGAGGAAUAUUGGACAAUGGGCGCAAGCCUGAUCCAGCCAUGCCGCGUGCAGGAUGACGGUCCUAUGGAUUGUAAACUGCUUUUGUACAGGAAGAAACAGUUCUACGUGUAGAACCUUGACGGUACUGUAAGAAUAAGGAUCGGCUAACUCCGUGCCAGCAGCCGCGGUAAUACGGAGGAUCCAAGCGUUAUCCGGAAUCAUU